Molecule: ribosomal RNA, 509 nt
Filed under: uncultured bacterium
Lineage: Bacteria
Description: bacterial SSU rRNA
Rfam family: Bacterial small subunit ribosomal RNA
Source: RNAcentral
AGCGAACGCUGGCGGCGUGCUUAACACAUGCAAGUCGAGGGAGAACGGAGGGCUUCGGCCUUCCUAGUAAACCGGCGCACGGGUGAGUAACACGUAGGUAACCUACCCCCGAGACUGGGAUAACCUGUCGAAAGAUAGGCUAAUACCGGAUAAGACCACGAUGGUUUCGACCAAUGCGGUCAAAGAUGGCCUCUAUUUAUACGCUAUCACUCGAGGAUGGGCCUGCGCGCCAUUAGCUAGUUGGUGAGGUAACGGCUCACCAAGGCUACGAUGGCUAGUUGGUCUGAGAGGAUGACCAGCCACACUGGGACUGAGACACGGCCCAGACUCCUACGGGAAGCAGCAGUGGGGAAUAUUGCGCAAUGGGGGAAACCCUGACGCAGCGACGCCGCGUGGGUGAUGAAGGCCUUCGGGUCGUAAAGCCCUGUCGGAGGGGAAGAAGGACUGCCGGUCAAAUAGGCCGAUGGUCUGACGGUACCCUUAGAGGAAGCACCGGCUAACUCCGUGCC